GGAGGAAAGUAGGGGAUCGAAAGACCUUCCGCUUUUGGAGCGGCCGAUGUCUGAUUAGCUAGUUGGUAAGGUAAUGGCUUACCAAGGCAACGAUCAGUAGUUGGUCUGAGAGGACGACCAGCCACACUGGGACUGAGACACGGCCCAGACUCCUACGGGAGGCAGCAGUGGGGAAUUUUGGACAAUGGGCGCAAGCCUGAUCCAGCAAUGCCGCGUGAGUGAAGAAGGCCUUCGGGUUGUAAAGCUCUUUCAGUUGAGAAGAAAAGAUUGUGACUAAUAAUUGCAAUUCAUGACGGUAUCAACAGAAGAAGCACCGGCUAACUACGUGCCAGCAGCCGCGGUAAUACGUAGGGUGCGAGCGUUAAUCGGAAUUACUGGGCGUAAAGGGUGCGCAGGCGGUUCUGUAAGUCAGAUGUGAAAUCCCCGGGCUUAACCUGGGAACUGCGUUUGAAACUACAAAGCUAGA
Molecule: ribosomal RNA, 466 nt
Filed under: uncultured bacterium
Lineage: Bacteria
Description: bacterial SSU rRNA
Rfam family: Bacterial small subunit ribosomal RNA
Source: RNAcentral